Molecule: ribosomal RNA, 444 nt
Filed under: uncultured bacterium
Lineage: Bacteria
Description: SSU rRNA
Rfam family: Bacterial small subunit ribosomal RNA
Source: RNAcentral
AGAGCGAACGCUGGCGGCAGGCCUAAUACAUGCAAGUCGAACGGACCCUUCGGGGUUAGUGGCGGACGGGUGAGUAACACGUGGGAACGUGCCCUUUGGUUCGGAACAACUCAGGGAAACUUGAGCUAAUACCGAAUGUGCCCUUUGGGGGAAAGAUUUAUCGCCAUUGGAGCGGCCCGCGUCUGAUUAGCUAGUUGGUGAGGUAAAGGCUCACCAAGGCGACGAUCAGUAGCUGGUCUGAGAGGAUGAUCAGCCACACUGGGACUGAGACACGGCCCAGACUCCUACGGGAGGCAGCAGUAGGGAAUCUUGCGCAAUGGGCGAAAGCCUGACGCAGCCAUGCCGCGUGAAUGAUGAAGGUCUUAGGAUUGUAAAAUUCUUUCAGCGGGACGAUAAUGACGGUACCCGCAGAAGAAGCCCGGCUAACUUCGUGCCAGCAGCCGC